RNAcentral lists this ribosomal RNA (500 nucleotides) under uncultured bacterium. RNAcentral describes it as "partial 16S ribosomal RNA". It matches the Rfam family "Bacterial small subunit ribosomal RNA", at positions 30 to 523 of the family's 1533-position model. The record is from RNAcentral.
AUUGAACGCUGGCGGAAUGCUUUACACAUGCAAGUCGAACGGCAGCACGGACUUCGGUCUGGUGGCGAGUGGCGAACGGGUGAGUAAUGUAUCGGUACGUGCCCAGUCGUGGGGGAUAACGUAAUGAAAAUUACGCUAAUACCGCAUACGAUCUAUGGAUGAAAGCGGGGGAUCGCAAGACCUUGCGCGAUUGGAGCGGCCGAUAUCAGAUUAGGUAGUUGGUGGGGUAAAGGCCCACCAAGCCAACGAUCUGUAGCUGGUCUGAGAGGACGACCAGCCACACUGGAACUGAGACACGGUCCAGACUCCUACGGGAGGCAGCAGUGGGGAAUUUUGGACAAUGGGCGAAAGCCUGAUCCAGCCAUUCCGCGUGCAGGAUGAAGGCCCUCGGGUUGUAAACUGCUUUUGUACAGAACGAAAAGGUUUCUACUAAUACUAGGAGCUCAUGACGGUACUGUAAGAAUAAGCACCUGCUAACUACGUGCCAGCCGCCGCCGUAA